AUACGUAGGGAGCAAGCGUUGUCCGGAAUUACUGGGCGUAAAGGGUGCGUAGGCGGACUGUCAAGUCAGAUGUGAAAUACCCAGGCUUAACCUGGGGGGUGCAUUUGAAACUGGUGGUCUUGAGUACAGGAGAGGUGAGUGGAAUUCCUAGUGUAGCGGUGAAAUGCGUAGAUAUUAGGAGGAACACCAGUGGCGAAGGCGACUCACUGGACUGUAACUGACGCUGAGGCACGAAAGCGUGGGGAGCAAACAGGAUUAGAUACCCUGGUAGUCCACACUGUAAACGAUGAAUGCUAGGUGUAGGGGGUAUCGACCCCUUCUGUGCCGCAGUCAACACAAUAAGCAUUCCGCCUGGGGAGUACGGCCGCAAGGUUGAAACUCAAAUGAAUUGACGGGG
RNAcentral lists this ribosomal RNA (397 nucleotides) under uncultured bacterium. Its description in RNAcentral is "partial 16S ribosomal RNA". It matches the Rfam family "Bacterial small subunit ribosomal RNA", at positions 523 to 918 of the family's 1533-position model. The record is from RNAcentral.